Molecule: ribosomal RNA, 254 nt
Filed under: uncultured bacterium
Lineage: Bacteria
Description: partial 16S ribosomal RNA
Rfam family: Bacterial small subunit ribosomal RNA
Source: RNAcentral
UACGUAGGAGGCGAGCGUUGUCCGGAAUUACUGGGCGUAAAGAGCGCGUAGGCGGCGCUGUACGACAGGUGUGAAAGCCCCCGGCCCAACUGGGGAGGGUCACUUGUAACGGCAGCGCUUUUGAGUGCAGGAGAGGGAAGUGGAACUCCGGGAGUAGCGGUGAAAUGCGUAGAUACCCGGAGGAACACCAGUGGCGAAGGCGGCUUCCUGGUCUGCUACUGACGCUGUGGCGCGAAAGCUAGGGGAGCAAACGG